ACUGAAUAGAUACCCGGGUAGUCCACGCUGUAAACGAUGAUAACUAGCUGUCGGGGGCCUUAGACUUUCGGUGGCGCAGCUAAACGCAUUAAGUUAUCCGCCUGGGGAGUACGGCCGCAAGGUUAAAACUACAAAGAAAUUGACGGGGGCCGUGCACAAGCGGUGGAGCAUGUGGUUUAAAUUCGAAGCAACGCGCAGAACCUUACCAGCGUUUGACAUCCUCAUCGCGGAUUCCAGAGAUGGUUUCCUUCAGUUCGGCUGGAUGAGUGACAGGUGCUGCAUGGCUGUCGUCAGCUCGUGUCGUGAGAUGUUGGGUUAAGUCCCGCAACGAGCGCAACCCUCGUCUUUAGUUGCCAUCAUUUA
This 363-nucleotide ribosomal RNA is filed under the name uncultured bacterium. Its description in RNAcentral is "bacterial SSU rRNA". It matches the Rfam family "Bacterial small subunit ribosomal RNA", at positions 772 to 1127 of the family's 1533-position model. The record is from RNAcentral.